GCCUGGCUGGUUCAGUCGGUAAAGCAUGGGAUUCUUGGUCUCAUGGUCGUGAGUUCAAGCCCCACGCUGGGCA
This 73-nucleotide transfer RNA is filed under the name Ailuropoda melanoleuca (giant panda). It matches the Rfam family "tRNA". From Rfam's summary of the family: Transfer RNA (tRNA) molecules are approximately 80 nucleotides in length. Their secondary structure includes four short double-helical elements and three loops (D, anti-codon, and T loops). Lineage: Eukaryota; Metazoa; Chordata; Mammalia; Carnivora; Ursidae. The record is from Rfam by way of RNAcentral.